AGAGUUUGAUCCUGGCUCAGGAUGAACGCUGGCGGCGUGCUUAACACAUGCAAGUCGAACGAACCUUCGGGUUAGUGGCGGACGGGUGAGUACGCGUGGGAAUCUGCCCUCAGGAGGGGGAUAACGGCUGGAAACGGCCGCUAAUACCCCAUAUGCCGAGAGGUGAAAGGAAAUUCGCCUGAGGAUGAGCCCGCGUCUGAUUAGCUAGUUGGUGGGGUAAGAGCUUACCAAGGCGACGAUCAGUAGCUGGUCUGAGAGGAUGAUCAGCCACACUGGGACUGAGACACGGCCCAGACUCCUACGGGAGGCAGCAGUGGGGAAUUUUCCGCAAUGGGCGAAAGCCUGACGGAGCAACGCCGCGUGAGGGAUAAAGGCCUCUGGGCUGUAAACCUCUUUUCUCAAGGAAGAAGACAUGACGGUACUUGAGGAAUAAGCCACGGCUAAUUCCGUGCCAGCAGCCGCGGUAAUACGGGAGUGGCAAGCGUUAUCCGGAAUUAUUGGGCGUAAAGCGUCCGCAGGCGGCCCUGUAAGUCUGUCGUUAAAGCGUGGAGCUUAACUCCAUUUAAGCGAUGGAAACUACAGGGCUUGAGUGUGGUAGGGGCAGAGGGAAUUCCCGGUGUAGCGGUGAAAUGCGUAGAUAUCGGGAAGAACACCAGUGGCGAAGGCGCUCUGCUGGGCCAUAACUGACGCUCAUGGACGAAAGCCAGGGGAGCGAAAGGGAUUAGAUACCCCUGUAGUCCUGGCCGUAAACGAUGAACACUAGGUGUCGGGGGAAUCGACCCCCUCGGUGUCGUAGCCAACGCGUUAAGUGUUCCGCCUGGGGAGUACGCACGCAAGUGUGAAACUCAAAGGAAUUGACGGGGGCCCGCACAAGCGGUGGAGUAUGUGGUUUAAUUCGAUGCAACGCGAAGAACCUUACCAGGGUUUGACAUCCUGCGAAUCCCUUGGAAACGAGGGAGUGCCUUCGGGAGCGCAGAGACAGGUGGUGCAUGGCUGUCGUCAGCUCGUGUCGUGAGAUGUUGGGUUAAGUCCCGCAACGAGCGCAACCCACGUCUUUAGUUGCCAGCAUUCAGUUGGGCACUCUAGAGAGACCGCCGGUGAUAAACCGGAGGAAGGUGUUGAUGACGUCAAGUCAUCAUGCCCCUUACAUCCUGGGCUACACACGUACUACAAUGCUACGGACAAAGGGCAGCAAGCUCGCGAGAGUUAGCAAAUCCCAUAAACCGUGGCUCAGUUCAGAUCGUAGGCUGCAACUCGCCUACGUGAAGGAGGAAUCGCUAGUAAUCGCAGGUCAGCAUACUGCGGUGAAUACGUUCCCGGGCCUUGUACACACCGCCCGUCACACCAUGGAAGUUGGCCAUGCCCGAAGUCGUUACUCCAACCCAC
Molecule: ribosomal RNA, 1386 nt
Filed under: metagenome
Description: bacterial SSU rRNA
Rfam family: Bacterial small subunit ribosomal RNA
Source: RNAcentral